GGUCAAUGCCUUUUUAAACUUCCCUUCCCCCAAUAAUGCAGCUCGUAUAAUGGUAAAUGCAGCAGCCUGGAUCCAUGCAGAGCCCCAGCCUGCUGGCAGCAGAGUAAUAAACUGGUAGGUGGCUGCAGUAGAAGAAGGACUUCAGAGUGGUGAUUGGGACCUGAAAAUUCUGCAGAGGGGCAAAUGGAACAUAAAAUAGAAGAUGAAAACCUUUAAAGGGGGAAGAGGAUGGAAGAGAGAUUAAGACUACUGGGAUUUACACUCUGGGUGUUUUCUUUCAGGUUUUCGAAGUAGAAAGUGAUCAUCCUUCUUUACGCUGUGGUCAUCCUGGAUGAAGAUACAUUUGACCAGAUGGACCUCAGGUGGGGCAAUACACAGAAGAAAGAAGCAGCAGCCUCAACUAGUUUGACUGUAGUCAUAUUUUCAUAAUAAAACAUUAUGAAACAAGAAAGAAAGAAAGAAAGAAAGAAAGAAAGAAAGAAAGAAAGAAAGAAAGAAAGAAAGAAAGAAAGAAAGAAAGAAAGAAAGAAAGAAAGAAAGAAAGAAGGAAAGAAAGAAAGAAAGAAAGAAAGAAAGAAAGAAAAAGAGGAAGAAAGGAAGAAAGAAAAAGAAAGAAAGAAAGAAAG
Molecule: long non-coding RNA, 626 nt
Filed under: Monodelphis domestica (gray short-tailed opossum)
Lineage: Eukaryota; Metazoa; Chordata; Mammalia; Didelphimorphia; Didelphidae
Description: lncRNA (ENSMODG00000045230.1)
Source: RNAcentral